CAAGGAUUUUCACAUCUCUUCAGACACGGGGCGACUCUUUGUGUUUCUAUCAAAAAGUUGGUCUUUUCCUACCUGUACAUCUCCCCAUCAUUUAUGAUUUCUAAUCGUAACCCCUACGAAAAUCCUCCUUAUCUUAAUUAGAGGAACCUUCCAUCUCAAACCAGCGUUUGCAACUCAACUUUCGACAUGGUCGCACAACUCAGUUUAUAGUUGGUCGCCUCAUCCGCUUAUGGGAUUCCCGCAAUUCAUGGGAAUGACACUUAUCUUCCUUGAUAGAAAGGACUGAAUUGUCACCUCAUCUGUUUCCUUAAAAAGAGAUAAGAUGGAAAGCGAAGAGAUGGAUUCUAUAUUCCGUGGGAACAUAAUGAACAAAAAAGAGAUGGAGGUGGUGAUGAACAAAGCCAAAAGAGAUCGUCUCCGAGUAACCAGUCGUUGUCUUCAGCAAAACUUACUCUGGUUAUUGUCAGAGGGUGAAACAGCUGUUGACAUAGCUAGGAGCUAGCUUUAAAGUGCUUGAGCUCGAUGAGAUGACUUAUCUGAGUGAACAGGGCAGAGCACUGUUCCAAACGUGUUCAUCAAAGGAAAACAUAUUGUUUUGGAUGUGAUAGAGUGAUGGAGAGUACAAGGAAAGCUAGCAUAUAUUGUAUGUUAUACGUGACAAGAACUAGCAGCAUGAAAUAGCUAAUUUAUUAAUCUAUAAAGACCCAUGAAGCUGAUUUCCUCUGUAUUGCUCGGAUUGUUGGGGUCCUCCAACAAAAUGGCUGGUCUUUUGUCUCAUGCACCGGAUGCAACAGGAAGUUGGAGUAAUCUGGAACCCUCCCUCCGAUGCAACAAAUGUGUUACUCCCCACAUCACCGGUGUUAUCAGGUGUACGUUGUUUAUCGUCUACCAUUUAUAAACACAAACCUUCAUUUUAGUAAUCAAUAACCCUUGGAUUCCUAUAUUUUAAGGUUUUGUGUUGAGCUUGCUGUGGAUGAUGGGAAAGAUAGUGAUACGUUUGUAAUAUUUGAUAAGGAGAUGACAAGGCUCACCAAGCAAGAAGUUGUUGUUCUUGCGUUUGAGGAGAUACCAACCGGUGGAGAGGAGGAGCUUCCAAGCUGUCUUGUAGAGCUUUCCUGGGAAGGAGUUCGUGUUUCAAAUCCGUGUGACACCUUACAGUUUCACACAUAAUCAACGUACCUUCACUGUAUCAACUAUCAACGAAGAGGGCCAUCAACAAUCUGCUACCACUCAGUGAAGAGGAAGGUGGAAUAACGACAACAUCUUCCAACGAGACGGUUGUUGCGGCGAAGCUAGGAAUGGGUGGUGAGACAGCAAAUCCACCGGGAAAUAAAAAUGUUGUUAACACACACAAGCACCACCGUGAGUGAUAAGAUACUAUUAAUUCCAGCAGCCCGUCAACCCCACUUUCAUUAUGUGGGUUUUUUAAAUAACUAUCCUUUGUAUUGCUCAUUUGAAACUUUGUUGUUUUUUUUUCCAAUUAUUUCCUGCAACUAUCUCUCAUUGGGGAAAUAGUUAUUUUGUUCUCUAAUUACUAAUGAAAGUGUAAUGACCCUAAACCUUGCCCAUGGGUCAGGUUGUUUGAGAUUUCGCCAAGCUUGUCACCACCGUUCGCCACAGCUGAGAAUCGCCGGAAACCGCCGCCUCUUAAGCUUUGUUUUCGUCGAUUCCGUAAAUCGGCCAUAACUUCUUAACCGUUGCGAAUCUCGUGCAUCCAAGCCCAUCAUCGUGUUCCUCUCGUCGAGACGAAGCCGUAGACACCAACCACGCCUCAAACGGAGCCCGGACGAAGCCGCACGCGCCUCCCGAAGAUUCGCCUCGGCGUGCGCGUGAAACACACGCGCCACCGCCGUCCGCCGGAGCCACCGCGAGUUCCGGCCACGCUCCGCCGUCUCCGACCAACGUUCGCCGGAGCCGCCGUGACCGACCACCGUCCGUUCGCCGCCGGGAAGCUGCCGCCGCGUCGCCGCCUCGCCGCCGUUGACUUUCCGAUUUGGAGUCCAUUUGAGCAGCUGGAGUUCAUAGAUACCACCUCUUAUUGUUGCUAAGGUGAGACAAACAAGUAUGUGAUAUUUGGACGGACUUGGUGCUAUUGGACUUGUCUUUCGGAUUUUAUUUGGGCAUGGGUGAGAGUUGUCGGGUUUAUGGGCUUUUAUAUUACGGGAUAUUGUUGGUGGCCCGUCGUCCUUAGUGUCAGGGAGACGGGUAUCACAUUGUUGUAUGAUGACGCGUCGGGGGUGACACGCUGUCCUCCAUAUAGGAGGUGACGGGUGUCACAGAAAGGUUGACGGGAUUUUCAUUAUUCAUUAAACCAUGUUCACAAAGAAACACUUGAUGCCUUAA
Molecule: long non-coding RNA, 2343 nt
Organism: Brassica napus (rape)
Lineage: Eukaryota; Viridiplantae; Streptophyta; Magnoliopsida; Brassicales; Brassicaceae
Exons: 9
Source: RefSeq, a predicted model, not a curated record